Molecule: long non-coding RNA, 2398 nt
Organism: Triticum urartu
Lineage: Eukaryota; Viridiplantae; Streptophyta; Magnoliopsida; Poales; Poaceae
Source: RefSeq, a predicted model, not a curated record
CUUGCACGAGAAGGGAUGGCACAUGGGCUCGUUCGAAACACCACAGGUACUGGAAAACGAUCAUGCCGCUUUGACCCCACGGCCAACCCUCUGGUUAGAACAGAGCCAUGCCACAAUGUUUCCUCUCCAUCCUCUCAUUCCCUUCUUCCUCGCACGCGUCCAGGGCGACGACGAUGUCUGUUCCGGCGCCAUGUCUACCGAUGGUGUCGAGCUCAACGGGGGGGGUUGACGGAGCUACAGAGUGGAGUGCUUCAGUACUACCAUUGGAGUCUCAGGAUUCCAUGAGUGUCGUGAAUGUCGAUGGGGGCGCCGCCGGCAAGUAUCAGUCGUUGGGAGAUGAAGCCAGAUAAGACGUUGCUCCGAAGCAACUAGUGGUUUGACUCGAAGGUUAGUGAGAAGAACAUCGAUGCAUAUCAUUUGUUGGUCGAUUUGACAGUUGUUUUAGCAAAAUUUGGACCAUGGAUGGUAUAUUAGUUAGGGUUGUUUAGCAACCACGGGAUUCUUUUAGGAAGUGUGUAUACUAGAUAGUUUUUCUAGGCACAUCUGCUCUGAGGGGUUGUAGAUUUAUUUGUGUUUGAGCCAUGAUCUUUGGAUUUUGAAUUGGCAACAAAGGAUUUAGUUUGUACCUGUGCCUCUGGUUAACUAAUUUCUAGCAUGGAUGGAUUACUGGUUAAUGUUUUAUUAGGUGCCAAUGGGGUGGGUAUCAUGCACAUGACCCGUGGGACUGAUUCUAUGCUCGAUUUGGUUGAUGCGCUGGGGAUACUUCUAUAGUUUAAAAGAAUUGAUUCCUAGCUCUGGGUUAAUGAGGCAGGCGUGUUUUCUGCUGGAUUUUGUUCAAUGUCUAAGAUGAAGUAUAAAUAUGGAUAUGGUUAUUGGGGACAUAUGUUCAUAGCACCUUUUGGUUGUGGUUGUCUGCCAUAGGAAUGGCACAGAUUUUGUUGUUGGGUUGCCUUGUUUGAUGAGACAUGGAUUAUUGUGUGUUUUGCCAGAUUAUUAGUUAUAUAGCUAUUUACUAAUGAAGAAUUUGUGUGUGCUCUUGGAUUUAGUCAGUGUUUUGCGUUGGAGUACACUUAUCUUAAUGAUGCCUGGGAACAGAUGUUCAGAACUAUGUUUGUUGUUGUUGUUUUUUGCAUAGGAUGGUUAGUUUUCCGAGGAUUUCCUAGUGGGAAAUCCGGUGUGUGCUGUCAGUGAGGGAGCAAUGCUUUUUUGAUUGAUUAAAAAAGCUUUAUAAGAUACCACUCCGUUCAUAUGAUUUUUUCCAUAUUAUUGAUUUGGCGCUGAUCUUUUUCUGCCUUACAUUUUUCUGGAGACACUCUUUUCAGGGUAAGGAUUGGGAAAGCGCCAGAGGAGAGGGAAAUGAACCCACAUUUUUCUGGAGACACUCUUUUCAGGGUAAGGAUUGGGAAAGCGCCAGAGGAGAGGGAAAUGAACCCUGACAGGAAAACCACACUUGAACUGUCCGUGCGCUUAUGAGUUCUACAACAUCUACUCGUGGGAAUGUGGAUUUAGAGUUAGGCUGGCAAAAAACAGACCGAAUGUUCAUCAGAAAAGAUGCAUGCAAGAGAUAUUGUGCGGGCAAGCCAAUGAGGGAAAACAGUCGCUCAUCAAGGUGUGGCUGCAAAGCAAUGAUUAGGCUCCUUCGCUCGAAAUAAAAUGGUUGGUACAUAUCAGAGUAUAAAGUGGGACAUAACCACCCGUUGUGUGGAUAGAAAAUGCAUUGAAAGUCACACAGGCAGAUUGACAGAUAUGCGAAGGAUCUAGUGAAACAACUCCAGGACAUUAAUGUUGGUCUUGGGAAGGUUUUCAGCAUUGUGGGAAGUUUUUUUUGGGUCAGUUGAUAAUGUGCCAUUUACCAAGCGCUCAUUGAAGAUAGCGUGCAGGAAGUUAAACAAGGAACAAUCAUACUUUGAUGCCAUGAAGACAAUGGAAGUUGUGUCCAAGAUGAAAGCCAAUGAUCCUGACUUCAACUACACUGUGCAAGUAAAUGAAGAAAGCCGAAUAAAAACAUUGAUGUGGGUUACAAGCAGGGGUUGUGAUCAGUAUCGCUACUUCGGGGAUGCAAUUACAUUUGACACAAUUUACAGGACCAACUUGCAUGACAUGCCAUUUGGGCUUGGCGUCAACAACCGCUUCCACUUCCAGUGUAUAAUUUUUGGUGGUGUCAUGAGAUUACUGACUGAGAGCUCGGCACGAACCUCAACCCAAGUAGAAAACUUACUAAGUGACAGAUAUCACAUGUGAUGCAUAGGUAGAUGUUGGAAAAAUAGUUGGGUUUAUUAAGCAUUUAUGAAUUACCGUUGCCCCGUGGUAUGCACUUUCCUCGGCAGAUAUUUUCACUGUAAUUUUGUCAACCAUCUUCUUCAUUGAAUCAUAGUUGUACAACCCUAUACGGGGGUUA